RNAcentral lists this ribosomal RNA (372 nucleotides) under uncultured bacterium. Its description in RNAcentral is "bacterial SSU rRNA". It matches the Rfam family "Bacterial small subunit ribosomal RNA", at positions 29 to 406 of the family's 1533-position model. The record is from RNAcentral.
AUUGAACGCUGGCGGCAUGCCUUACACAUGCAAGUCGAACGGCAGCACGGGGGCAACCCUGGUGGCGAGUGGCGAACGGGUGAGUAACACAUCGGAACGUACCCAGUUGUGGGGGAUAACCAGUCGAAAGACGGGCUAAUACCGCAUGAUCUGGCGACAGCAAAGCGGGGGAUCGGCAACGACCUCGCGCGAUUGGAGCGGCCGAUGUCCGAUUAGCUAGUUGGUGGGAAAGCCACCAAGCUUUGAUCGGUAGCUGGUCUGAGAGGAUGAUCAGCCACACUGGGACUGAGACACGGCCCAGACUCCUACGGGAGGCAGCAGUGGGGAAUUUGGACAAUGGGGGCAACCCUGAUCCAGCCAUGCCGCGUGAGU